GUCGUGCGAGAAGUAUCUUCGGAUAUGAGUAGAGCGGCGGACGGGUGAGUAACGCGUAGGAAUCUACCUAGUAGAAGGGGAUAGCCCGGGGAAACUCGGAUUAAUACCGUAUACCUCCUUCGGGAGAAAGAAGGCCUCUCAUUGAAGCUUUCGCUGCUAGAUGAGCCUGCGUAAGAUUAGCUUGUUGGUGAGGUAAAGGCUCACCAAGGCGACGAUCUUUAGCGGGUCUGAGAGGACGAUCCGCCACAUUGGGACUGAGACACGGCCCAGACUCCUACGGGAGGCAGCAGUGGGGAAUAUUGGACAAUGGGCGCAAGCCUGAUCCAGCCAUACCGCGUGUGUGAAGAAGGCCCUAGGGUUGUAAAGCACUUUAAGUUGGGAAGAAAAGUUAUUGGUUAAUACCCAAUAGCCGUGACAUUACCAUCAGAAUAAGGACCGGCUAAUUCCGUGCCAGCAGCCGCGGUAAUACGGAAGGUCCAAGCGUUAAUCGGAAUUACUGGGCGUAAAGCGCGCGUAGGUGGUUUAUUAAGUUGGAUGUGAAAUCCCCGGGCUCAACCUGGGAACUGCAUCCAAAACUGAUUCACUAGAGUACGAUAGAGGGAGGUAGAAUUCACAGUGUAGCGGUGGAAUGCGUAGAUAUUGU
This 643-nucleotide ribosomal RNA is filed under the name uncultured marine bacterium. RNAcentral describes it as "bacterial SSU rRNA". It matches the Rfam family "Bacterial small subunit ribosomal RNA", at positions 61 to 700 of the family's 1533-position model. The record is from RNAcentral.